RNAcentral lists this small nuclear RNA (18 nucleotides) under Arabidopsis thaliana (thale cress). Its description in RNAcentral is "snRNA_05556". The record is from RNAcentral. Lineage: Eukaryota; Viridiplantae; Streptophyta; Magnoliopsida; Brassicales; Brassicaceae.
UGAAAUGACUUGAGAGGU